UCAUUUUAGUGUAGUUUUUCUUUGUUUGCCUCCUGUCAGGUUAUUUGGUCAAUUUAUAGUUGUUUUCGAAAAUGUCUUUUUUGUCUUCAACGAAUCAAACCUUUCUUCAUCAUUUUACCAUUUGUGGUAUUUGUGGUUUUUACCAUUUUUGAGGCGCUGUGAGUGUGGUUGAUGGACGUGGUGCAGAGGUCGAAUAGAUUGGUGUGGAAGCUUUCGUUCUUUGCAUUAUGUUCAUUGUCUUGGAGCUUGGCUCAAAUAGCUUAGGUUCUUCUUCAACAUCCUUUCUAGUUACCAUUGCAUUUUAGGUCAGGUUGAAGCUUGAAGGAUAGUUUCCUUUUCUACUUAUUUCCGGGCACCACAAGGCUGAAGAAAAGGUGAAGCAGUGGAUAAAACCCUUCGAAACCAUCUUUUGAAGAUGUUUACUGCUUUGGGAAUUUAUCCAGAAAGCUUUGAAAAGCCAUUCCUUGAAUGCACAUCUGAAUUUUAUGCUGCUGAAGGUGUGAAAUACAUGCAUCAAUCAGAUGCUCCAGAUUAUUUGAAGCAUGUGGAGGGAUGUUUGUGGGUGCUUCUUCUGCAGAUAUGAUUGCAAGAAGAACAUGAAAGAUGUUUGAUUUUGCAGAUAAGACUGUCCACAUUAGUCCAAGUCUUUCUUCAGCACUUACCAAGUUUUAGUGGAUACGACCCUCACGGGGAUCGUGCCAGUCUCGGGUAUAUAUUAUCAUGCUUCCCAUUGAAAUUGUUUGGCACCCUUGGUUUUCCAAAGGAGAGGUGUUGUUGUGUUAGUUUUAAUUUAAUAAAUAUCCCAAGACAGAAAGCCCCAGCCAAUCUUCUGGAAAUAUCUCAACCUAAUAUAGGCAUGAAUAAGAAUUGUUACUGCUGUAUGAUUAUGUUUUGUACUAUAAAGAAUCUUCUGAAUGUUGAUCGGGUGAUGUGCCUGAGGGUAAAAUCCUCAAACAACGGCCUAUCCUGAUUGCAGCGUCAAUGCGGAGCUAUGGAGCUUAUUUAGCUUACAGUCAGAGUACAGAUACAGACUAUUGAUCGCAAGCAAGAAGUACCUCAUGAUGGUGCCUUGUGUGACCUCAUAUGGUCAGAUAUCCAGAAGAUAUUCUAGAUGGAUGGGAUCUUAGUCCUAGAGUUGCUGGUUUCUUAUUUGGUGGCAGUGUUCUUACUUCCUUUAACCACUCAAACAACAUUGACUAAAUAUGUCGUACUCAUCCGUUGGUGAUGGUACCAUUUUUCUGUUUAAGUGCAAAAUGACUCAGUUAUUAAGAUAUGUAGUUGUUGCUAUAAAAAUGUGUCCUUCUCUUUAUUGUGUGUGCCGACUGCUCAAGAUAUCUGUUGAGUUUUGCAGCAUAUGACCACAUUUCUUCUUCUUUUUGUUGCUCAUGCCAUGUGCUAUCUCUCAGAUCAACUCGACCUUUAUGAUGUCAAGAAACUGUGCUACAGUUUUGGAGAUUCCAAUUGCAAGUAAUUGUAAAUAUAAGGUACCAUCUUAUAUCUGUUUUGGUUAUCGUGAAUGUCACCAUCACCAACAAGUUUUUAUUUCUAAGCAAAGGGUGUGCCCCAGUUAUCAGAUUUUGGUCCAACUGUCUUAAAUGACCAUCUGAUAAUUCCAGAUGGUUUUCAGGAAUUUAAAUUCAAACAUAACUUUGAAUCAGUUCUGUGUUGAUGUUUUUAGUGCCAUUCUUUAGUCAGAACAUUGUUUUGAUCUAUGUCAAGUCUUAACAUGGGAAUUAUCUCUGUGAAACUUAAUUAUGGUAAAAAAAAGACACCAAUUUAAGUCCUUGAUUUUGAAGAUUGAAGAUGACCAACUGAAGAAAAAAAGUUCACCUGAUUGUAGAAAUAGCAGUGUUGUUAGUAGUAAUAGUAAGGUUCUCUCUCUGUGUAUCAAAGAUGUUAUUGCAGCUAA
This is an RNA transcript of Vigna radiata var. radiata (mung bean), 1909 nucleotides long. RefSeq lists it as uncharacterized. The transcript is spliced from 7 exons. The record is from RefSeq and is a predicted model, not a curated record. Lineage: Eukaryota; Viridiplantae; Streptophyta; Magnoliopsida; Fabales; Fabaceae.